AAAAAAACAAAUCCUAGAUUUCCGUGUCCAAUUUUAACUGUCCGUCUUAUAUGAAAUUUUUUUAUAAUUUGUAUUUUCAUUGUUGUUAGAUGAUAAAAUAUAAUUAAUAUUUUAUGCUUGACUUGUCUUUUUAUUUUUUUCAUAAUUUUUUUAAAUAAGACGGACGGUCAAACGUUGGACACGGAAACCAAGGUUUGUCUUUUUU
Oryza sativa Indica Group (long-grained rice) is the source of this 205-nucleotide microRNA precursor. It matches the Rfam family "MIR812 microRNA precursor family". NCBI's taxonomy places the organism in Eukaryota, Viridiplantae, Streptophyta, Magnoliopsida, Poales, Poaceae. The record is from Rfam.